RNAcentral lists this transfer RNA (74 nucleotides) under Spirochaetales bacterium. Its description in RNAcentral is "tRNA-Val". It matches the Rfam family "tRNA". Rfam says of the family: Transfer RNA (tRNA) molecules are approximately 80 nucleotides in length. Their secondary structure includes four short double-helical elements and three loops (D, anti-codon, and T loops). The record is from RNAcentral. Lineage: Bacteria; Pseudomonadati; Spirochaetota; Spirochaetia; Spirochaetales.
GGGUGGGUAGCUCAGUUGGUUAGAGCACCGGUCUUACAAACCGGGGGUCCUGGGUUCGAGUCCCAGUCCGCCCA